GCUUGGUAUAAAAUUUAUGAAUGUGGAGAAUAAUUUACAUUCUUUGGGUCAUCGAUAACGUCAGACGGAAAAUUUAUUCACGAAUGCGAGCCGUAUAUGGUCAUUCAAAGAAAAACUCAGUGUGACAGUGAGGUUAAAAAAGCGGGUGUUUCUAGUUAAUCGAGUUAAAAAGCAAAUGACGUCGAAGAUUCCGGAAGAUUCUUCCUGUGGAGCGAACUGAAAAUGAUUGUCACGUGACCGCAUUUGUGCGUUACAUGACGUGCAGUGUCAAGACAAGACAAUAUAUAAUUGUGUGAAGAAAAACUUUUGCAUUCUGGUUGCAUUCUAAAUCGCUCACUUAUACUUUGCAUACAAAUUAUCUUCAAUCAUGUAUUCUUUUGCACAAGACAACGAGCAUAUGGCUGAAUUGCAAGGAUUUAGGAACUUAUUUUGUAAUUUAAAUUGGGAAAACUAUGCUUUAUUAAACAUCGAGUGGUCUUUUGACUUUCUCAAUUCCUGUAA
Long non-coding RNA from Xenia sp. Carnegie-2017, 501 nucleotides. RefSeq lists it as uncharacterized. Lineage: Eukaryota; Metazoa; Cnidaria; Anthozoa; Malacalcyonacea; Xeniidae. The record is from RefSeq and is a predicted model, not a curated record. The transcript is spliced from 2 exons.